UGUGAACUUAGGUCUGAUAUUGAUUGUUUAUGCUUCAUGCCAAAUGAUCAUCAAUAGUAAUUGCUCUUCAAAACUGUAUGUUUUGUACUAAAAAUAAACAUCUCAUUUACACUUUCAUUUAUAGGUGAAGAGCUUAUGGGUAUAAAUCUACAAACUAAUUUAUUUGUUAGUAUUUCAUUUAAUGUAUCUCUCUUUUUGUCAAUAACCAGCGAUACUUCC
This 219-nucleotide long non-coding RNA is filed under the name Mytilus galloprovincialis (Mediterranean mussel). The record is from RNAcentral. Lineage: Eukaryota; Metazoa; Mollusca; Bivalvia; Mytilida; Mytilidae.